UGUCUACUUUUUUUGUAUGGUAAACUUCAAAUACCAUUUCUGUAGUUUCACACUUUCUUACUUUAGUAUUAUGUAUUUUAAAGUAUAUUAAGUUAGUAUUAUAUUGUUUUAUUUUUAUCUUUUCGUCAGUUUUUUUGUUAUUAUUUUGUUAAAUUAUAUACAAAAACUUCAGAUACCUUAUCUAGGUUUAUCAAAUAGCAUAUAUGUGUGGAUAUAUAUUAGAUGUGUGGCUAUAUAUUAUUUUAUACACCUCAAAAUAGCAUAUAUGUGUACUUUUUUUAGGGUAAAACUUCAAAUACCAAUAGAGUAGUUUCACACAUUUUCACUUUAGUAUCUUGUGUUUUAAAGUGUAUCAAGUUAGUGUUAUGUGAUUUUAUUUUUAUCUCUUCGUCAGUUUUUUUGUUAAUAUUUUAUUAAAUUAUAUACAAAAACUUUAGAUACUCUAUCUGGACUUAUUAAAUAUUUACUCUAGUACUCUUUAACUUUAACUUUGUCACUGAUUUAACGAAAAAAUUUAAUAAAAUUAAUAAUAAAAGAAUAAAAAUAAAACUACAGUACGCUAAAUUGAUAUGGUUUGAAUUAAAGGGUACUAAAAUAAGAAUAUUAAAAUUUUUUUUUUAAAAAAAAAUAUA
RNAcentral lists this long non-coding RNA (632 nucleotides) under Ananas comosus (pineapple). Its description in RNAcentral is "long non-coding RNA (ACOM_LNC027356)". The record is from RNAcentral. Lineage: Eukaryota; Viridiplantae; Streptophyta; Magnoliopsida; Poales; Bromeliaceae.